UUUGUGUUGUAUAUGUACUAUAUUUUUUAAUCGAAGUUAUUGAUUGUUUAUCAUUUUUUUGAUUUGCUAUAAUCUUUAUACCAACUCUAAUCGAUUAUUCUUGAAACCCUAACGUUGAUUUAACAUAUAUCUAUUCAUCUAAGAGUGACACAAUUCGAUUUAAUUUUUACCCUAAAUUGUUUUAGGGUUCGGAGUUUUUUUUUUUAUUAAUUUAGUUAAGUUUGUUUCAAAAUAAUCAUCACUGACUCGGUUUUUGGCGUUGGACGUUGGCGAUGGUGGAAAUCCUUUGUUUCAGUAUUUGGUGAUGAUGGGGAGGACAGAUUCGCCACUGCCACCAUUUUGUUGUUCCGUGUUCGUCUUCGAAUCCUUUAGGGUUUCUGGACGACAGUUAACGAUGGCGGCUCUGGUUUCAAUUGCUUUCAUGGCCUUUGGGAUCACAUCUGUGGUAGAUAUUGCAUUAUCAUUCUAGCGCAGUUUGAUCCGUAUGAAACAAACAACGCUCAUGAAUCAGAAGUUGUUUGUCCACGUGAACUGGGGUAUAAGGUUACCAAUUACAGUGCAAGGAGCUUCUACAAGGGUUGCAUUUGUUUAGGGGUAUAAGGUUACCAAUUAGAGUGCAAGGAGCUUCUACAAUGGUUCUCUCUUUAUCGUCUUCAGAUAUGAAAGCAACAAAAAUAAUCAUCCCUGACUCGGUUUUUGGCUUUGGACGUUGGCGAUGGUGGAAAUCCUUUGUUUCAGUAUUUGAUGAUGAUGGGGAGGACAGACUCGCCGCUGCCACCAUUUUGUUGUUCCGUGUUCAUCUUCGAACCCUUUAGGGUUUCUGGACGGCAGUUAACGAUGGCGGCUCUGGUUUCAAUUGGUUGGAGCUAAAUCUCAUAAUAUCGCAUACCUUAAAGGAAAAGUCCCCUCAUGGGUUGUCAUUCCUACUUCCGUCGCAUUACCUUUUGGAAGUUUUGAGAAAGUUCUUUCCGAUGAAUUUAGUCAGGUGUGUCUUGAAAGUUACAAAUAUUGAAGGAAAAGUUAGAAGUGUGAGAGUUUGAUGCCCUUGAGGAGAUCCGCAAGACGGUGUUGGAGAUUGUUGCACCGCCCCAGCUGGUACAAGAGCUAAAAGAGAAAAUGCAAAGCUCUGGUAUGCCAUGGCCUGGGGAUGAAGGUCGGCAUAGAUGGGAACAAGCAUGGAUUGCUUUAAAGUUCAUGAAUUUUUUUGUACUUUUGAGUUUAUCGAAAGAAGUUUUCCACUUUGUUUAUAAUGAUAACUGAAUUACACUUCCUCCAGCAAUACGGUUUUUUUUUCACUUCACUUACACAUGUUAAAAUAGACGAGGGAUGGAUAUGGGUGUCAUUUUUUCAGGUUUGGGCUUCAAAACAGAACGAGAGAGCGUACUUUAGUACAAGAAAAGUGAAGCUAGAUCAUGACCUUUAUGCAUGGUUGUCCUGGUUCAGGAAAUAAUAAAUGCUGACUAUGCAUUUAUUAUUCAUACCACAAAUCCAUCUUCAGGAGAUCCAUCAGAGAUAUACGCCGAGGUUGUAAAGGGACUUGGGGAGACUUUGGUCGGAGCUUAUCUAGGUCGGGCUUUAAGUUUCAUUUCCAAGAAAGACAAGCUCGACUCUCCUAAGAAAGGCCCAGAGGAUUCAGAGGCGGUGAAGCUAAAACCAACAUUUGCUGAUGCGUAUUUGAAUUUGGCGAAUGUAUACAAGGGAAUCUAGCUAGCAUAUAUUACGAGCAAGGUAACUUGGACAUAGCGACGUUAAUUUCAAUGGCGAGACAUAUGAGAGCCCAAACUAAUGCACGACGUUGAGACAUGUGGAGCAUUCGGCGGCGGAGGUGGCUCUGAAUGCGCUCGCGAGCCGUGGUCCGUCGAAUUCGUUAGCGGCAAGAAUUUUGUGACAGCUUAGCAUCUGGUUGAAGGUGGGUGUUCCACCAGACUCUCAUUUCGUAGCGGACAAGUUAAAGUUCUUUCAUGAUCAACCAAGUUCGAAGCGCUGGUAGAAGGUAGUUGAUAGAUUCAACCAUCAAUUGCAACAAUGCUACCCAUGGAUGGAUUCCAACCUUCAACUACAACAGAUUAAGACCAUGGAUGAUUCAUAUCUUCAGUUGCAACCAUCAAAGCUAUAUGCCUCAGCCUUAUUUUUGGAGGGAAUGCAUCACAUUCAGUUAACUAAUCUAUGUGGGAUCCAUUUUAUUUUUGGGUCAUACCAAACCCGUGAGAUCGGAUCUCUACAAAAAGACAUAACUCAAUAAUCUCUCUUUCCUAUUCUCUCUAAACCCUAACCGAGUCGCUUCAUCGCCUUCCUCAUCCUUCUGAUCAUCGCCGUCUCUACCACCUCUUCUAGGGUUCAAGCUUUCUUUCUCCAUAAAUCAUUGACUUCAAAAGUGAAUAUCGAUGUGUGGCAUACCAGGUGUUUGAUGAAAUGUCUAUAAGAGAUUAAAUCAGUGGAUGCACAAGAAUCAUUGAGAGGUGAAGAUUGCAUGAACAAUGCCGGCGACAGUGAAGAAUUACUAUUGCUUUGAUUUUAGCUUGCUCAAUGAUGCAAUUGAUAAAGAAGGUUCUAAUUCUCAAUGGGUUCCCCUUAAAUGUUUCUCAUCUAAGGAUUCAGUUAUGCUUGGAGGCAAUAAGUUAGUGGAUAAAGCUCUUAUCGGGUACUUAGUGACAGUGGCGGAAUUUAACCAAAAGUUUUGAGGGGGCGUAAAGUCAUGGGACCCAAUUUUUUUUACUAUCGUUAUGUUUCGGCUCAGGCCGGCUAUUCGAUUCGGGUCACUUGCCUACGAGUACAAAUCCGGCAAGACGAAGUGUCAGUAUUGGGUAUAUUAUGUGCGGCUUUUGUGGAGCCUAUGAGGAGUCUCCAGAACAUCUUUUAGUAUCAUGUGGGAUGACGCAAACUAUCUGGGACUUUAUUAAUACAUGGUUCAGGCUUUAUGGCUUCUUUUUCUUUGGAUUCGAGGACCCGUUGAAGUUUUAUAAGCAAGCGAGAGGCUCUGUGAAGUGGAGAAAGGUUGUCUACUCCAUUAUUCUAACGGUCGUGUGGUGCAUUUGGCAAAGUCAAAACAAUGUUAUCUUCAACUGUAAACAACCUAAUGUGGAGAGUUUAAAGUAGGAAAUUAGAGUUUUGGUGUACCUAUGGGUUAAACAUCAGUCAAAAGCCGUUGGAUUAUCAUGGGAAAUCUGGCGAAAUUUUGUGUUAAUUUUUUGGGUCUAUGAUGUAGUUUGUUGUCUGGUUGUUUUUGGAUGUGGAUUAAUA
Long non-coding RNA from Helianthus annuus (common sunflower), 3240 nucleotides. RefSeq lists it as uncharacterized. Lineage: Eukaryota; Viridiplantae; Streptophyta; Magnoliopsida; Asterales; Asteraceae. The record is from RefSeq and is a predicted model, not a curated record. The transcript is spliced from 15 exons.